RNAcentral lists this ribosomal RNA (236 nucleotides) under uncultured Tepidiphilus sp. RNAcentral's name for it is "partial 16S ribosomal RNA". It matches the Rfam family "Bacterial small subunit ribosomal RNA", at positions 1148 to 1382 of the family's 1533-position model. The record is from RNAcentral. Lineage: Bacteria; Pseudomonadati; Pseudomonadota; Hydrogenophilia; Hydrogenophilales; Hydrogenophilaceae.
ACUGCCGGUGACAAACCGGAGGAAGGUGGGGAUGACGUCAAGUCCUCAUGGCCCUUAUGGGUAGGGCUUCACACGUCAUACAAUGGUCGGUACAGAGGGUUGCCAACCCGGCGAGGGGGAGCCAAUCCCACAAAGCCGGUCGUAGUCCGGAUCGCAGUCUGCAACUCGACUGCGUGAAGUCGGAAUCGCUAGUAAUCGCGGAUCAGCAUGUCGCGGUGAAUACGUUCCCGGGCCUU